Molecule: long non-coding RNA, 459 nt
Organism: Mytilus trossulus (common blue mussel)
Lineage: Eukaryota; Metazoa; Mollusca; Bivalvia; Mytilida; Mytilidae
Exons: 3
Source: RefSeq, a predicted model, not a curated record
AAUCUUAUGACCAGUAAUAAGUAUUUAGUGAACAUUGACCUGAUGGCUUGUUAUGAAGCUAACGGUGCCUGUACUUUACAAGAAACCAUCCUAACUGACUUUGAACUCUUGAAACAAGUUUGUGACAGGGCAACAGGCUUUGUUAAUCAACAGUUUUCCUAUAGUUCAUGGCUAUCAUAAGUUGGUCUACCAGCCAAUACUUCACCCCUACCAGAAUGGACCAGAUGAUCAAUGACCUUGAUGCAGAUAAUUACUUCAGUCUUGACGACAAGUGCUACAAUGUGAAGACUCCAUUUAUGACAGCAACUGCAACAAAUGGCUUCAAUAAUGUUUGUGGUACAUCAAUUGCACAUAACACAUUUACACCAGCUGAUACAAUUGUGUGUAGUAUCCCAACAGACUGUAAUGGGGUAGAUGCUGUGUUGAUGUGCCUCUUUGAUGUGCCUCAGCUUGGUAAAU